UUCAUUAACUCACCAGGUUGCCCUUCCCUCUCUCGACGUCGAGCAUGCUUCAAGAGACGGCGACCUCAAUCUCCUUCCUUCCUUGGAUGUGCUAUGUAAGUUCAAAUUCCAGAAAAAAUACAAAUCAUUCAAAGGAGAUUACUUUCCAGUAGUUAGGGGCCGCAAAAUGCAGCCAUGACACACAUAUUAGACAUGUGCAUUCAACUUAAAGGGUGACUAAUGACUAAAAGGGAAUACAAAAUAUCAUAUUUUGUACAACAUAUCAUUUUUUAGGCUUUUGCAACCAGUGAGGAGAAGUGGUGGGUGUGUUCACCCCUCCUGCUCCUCAUUCUCGAGCAGGACAAGGUCGGUGGCUACAUAAUGAGGAGACGUCCUGGUAUACUUGACAAAUAACAGCAAAUUUGUAAUGUGGGCCUGUUGGCUCUUGAACGUGCGUAUGCAGCUGUACAGGCGUGCCUACGCGNNNNNNNNNNNNNNNNNNNNNNNNNNNNNNNNNNNNNNNNNNNNNNNNNNNNNNNNNNNNNNNNNNNNNNNNNNNNNNNNNNNNNNNNNNNNNNNNNNNNCUCCCAUUGCAAGAAUCAUAGAUCUAGUUGGCCAAACAAAACCCAAGACUCGGAGAGACUUACAAGGAUAUCAAAUCAUGCAUAUAAGAAAUCAGCAAAGACUCAAAUAUAUAUCAUAGAUAAUCUGAUCACGAGUCCACAAUUCAUCGGAUCUCGACAAACACACCCCCAAAGAAGAUUACAUCGGAUAGAUCUCCAUGAAGAUCAUGGAGAACUUUGUAUUGAAGAUCCAAGAGAGAGAAGAAGCCAUCUAGCUACUAACUACGGACCCGUAGGUCUGAAGUGAACUACUCACAAGUCAUUGGAGGGGCGAUGCUGAUGAUGAAGAAGCCCUCCAGCUCCAAAGUCCCCUCCGGCAGGGUGCCGGGAAGGGUCUCGAGAUGAGAUCUCGCGGAAACUGAAGCUUGCGGCGGCGAAAAAGUAUUUUCGAGGCUCCCCUGAUUUUUUAAGGAAUAUUUGGGAAUUUAUAGGCCAAAGACCUAGGUCAGGGGGCGGCCAGGGAGGCCACAAGCCUGCCCACCGCCGCCCCCCUGGUGGCGGAGUGGGGGCUUGUGGGCUCCCUGGNNNNNNNNNNNNNNNNNNNNNNNNNNNNNNNNNNNNNNNNNNNNNNNNNNNNNNNNNNNNNNNNNNNNNNNNNNNNNNNNNNNNNNNNNNNNNNNNNNNNGUGAAUAAAAAUAUAGCCCCAAGUAACGUUACCGAUGGAUUGAAGACGAGAGAGGGGAUGCCUUCCCGGGGCAUCCCCAAGCUUAGGCUUUUACGGCAUCCUUGAAUAUCUUUGGGUGCCUUAGGCAUCCCCAAGCUUGAGCUAUUGCCACUCUUUAUCUUUUUGUCCAUAAGAACUUCACCCAAAACUUGAAAACUUCACAACACGAAACUUAAACAGAAACUCGUGAUAACAUUAGUACAAGAAAGCAAACCACCACUUCCCUAGGUACUGUAGAAAACUUACAUUCUACUUGUGCUGAUGUUGGGUUACUGUACUUUCAAUCUUCCAUGGCUAAUACCCCCCGAUACUAUCCAUAGUUUCAUCAAAAUAAGCAACCAACACAACAAAAACAGAAUCUGUUAACAGCAGACCAGUCUGUAGCAAUCUGUAUGUUUUGUAUAUCUCUGGUACUUCAAAAAUUCGGAAACAUUACGACAGUCUAAAGAAUUUGCAUAGAAAUCCUCAGAAAAAAGAAUCAACUCAAAAGCUCUCACAGAAAAAAAAAAUCUUUUCGUGAGCAGAAAGUUUCUGUCUUUUCCAGCAUGAUCUAACGAUCAUCCCAAGACUAAUCAUAACGGUUUUGCUUGGCACAAACGCAAAAAGAAACACAAAAAACACAAUCAUAAAAGAAUUAUGGAAGUGUGGAAAACACAAAAUGGAAAGAAAAAAGAUAGAUUCCUUGGGUUGCCUCCCAACAAGCGCUUUUGUUUAACGCCCUUAGCUAGGCAUUCAAUGAUGCUCUCACAAAAGACAAGAAUUAAAGCACAACGAGAGCAUCCUAAAGCAUGUGAAAACCAAAUCUAAGUCUAACAUACUUCAUAUGCAUAGCCAUUUUAUAGGAAAACAGAUUGUCAAGACAACCAAUAGUUUCCAUAUGCAAGGAAGAAGAAAGAGACAAGAGCAAUCUCAACAUCACGAGAGGUGAUUUGGUAACAUGAAAGUUUCUACCAAAAUAUUUUCCUCUCUCAUAGCAAUUACAUGUGGGAUCAUAUUCAAAUUCAACAAUAUAGCUAUCCCAUAGGAUAUUCUUUUCAUGAUCCACAUGCAUGCAAAGUUGACGCUCUUCAAAAAUAGUGGGAUUAUCAUCAAAUAAAGUCAUGACUUCUCCAAUCCCACUUUCAAUAUUGUUGCAAAUAUCAUAUUCAUCAUGAGGUUUGAACAAAUUUUCAAGAUCAUAAGAAAGAUCAUCACCCCAAUCAUGAUUAUUGCAAUAAGUAGUGGUCAUAGCAAAACUAGCAUCCCCAAGCUUAGGGUUUUGCAUACUCUUAACAUGAUUGUCACUAAUAGAAUUUAUAGUGAAACCAUUGCAAUCAUGCUUUUCAUGCAAGGAACCCUCGUGAAUCCCUUCAUGAAAUUCUUCCUCACAAUUUUCAGAUUCACGCAUCUUAUGCAAAACUCCAAAGAAAUUGUCAAUUGCCCUCAACUCACUAGCAAUUUGUUCCACACGAGUGGGUCUCUUAAAGAGACUAGCAAGUGAAUGAGGAUCCAUAUCACUAGAUUUUCAGCAAGCGAAAAUGCAAGCAUAUUGAGGGCACAUGGCACACAAGCGAACAGAAAGCAAGCGAGAGAAAAGGGCGAACGAAAAAGGCAAAGGAGAAAGGCAAAUGAAAAUGGGAAAAGUGCAGUGGGGGAGAGGAAAACGAGAGGCAACUAGCAACAAAAGUAAAUGCAAGAGAAGAGUUUGUGAGACCUACUUGGAUAGAUCUUGAUUUCUCCUCCCCGGCAACGGCGCCAGAAAUACUUCUGAUGUUUGCUAUCUAUCCCUUGCAACGGCGCCAGAAAUAGUUGUGUCGACGGCACCAGGAAUCCUUCAGCUACAUCUACGCCUUAAGGGACUUCCUAGGCAAGUAUGCAAAGGCUUUCCCCCGUGGCCUUGGAGCCUUGCGUUGGUGUUCCCUCGAAGCGGAAAGGGUGAUAUAGCAUAGCGACGGUAAGUAUUUCCCUCGGUUUGAGAACCAAGGUAUCAAUCCGGCGGAAGAGUAUCUCAAGAUCCUGCACAAACACAAAAAGCUUGCACCAAACGCUAUGAACGGGUUGUCAAUCCCUUACAGAUUGUUUGCCAGGUGANCUGAAGUGAACUACUCACAAGUCAUUGGAGGGGCGAUGCUGAUGAUGAAGAAGCCCUCCAGCUCCAAAGUCCCCUCCGGCAGGGUGCCGGGAAGGGUCUCGAGAUGAGAUCUCGCGGAAACUGAAGCUUGCGGCGGCGAAAAAGUAUUUUCGAGGCUCCCCUGAUUUUUUAAGGAAUAUUUGGGAAUUUAUAGGCCAAAGACCUAGGUCAGGGGGCGGCCAGGGAGGCCACAAGCCUGCCCACCGCCGCCCCCCUGGUGGCGGAGUGGGGGCUUGUGGGCUCCCUGGAGCCCACCUGGCUUGGCCCAAAAGCCCCCUGGACUUCUUUCGUUCGGGAAAAAAUCAUUUCGGGGUUUUUCUUCCGUUUGGACUCUGUUCCAAAAUCAGAUCUGAAAAGAGUCAAAAACACGGAGAAAACAGGAACUGGCACUUGGCACUGAAUUAAUAAGUUAGUCCCAAAAAGAUAUAAAAAGGUACAUAAAACCUACAAAGAAGGCAAGAUAACAGCGUGAAACCAUCAAAAAUUAUAGAUAUGUUUGACACGUAUCAAGACAAUGCUACUACCUUUCCACACUUGUGCUUAUUAAGCACCAUGAUCUUCAUGAUUGAGAGUCUCUCGUUUUGUCACCACCAUAUAGUUAGUGGGAAAUUUUCAUUAUAUAACUUGGCUUGUAUAUUCCAAUGAUAGGCUUCCUCAAAAUUGCAUUAGGUCUUCGUGAGCAAGCAAGUUGGAUGCACACCCACUAGUUUUCCUUAAGAGCUUUCACAUACUCUUAUCUCUAGUGCAUCAUUUGUAUGGCAAUCCCUACUCAUUCACAUUGAUAUCUAUUGAUGAGCAUCUCCAUAGCUCAUUGAUAUGCCUAGUUAAUGUAACCAUCUUCUCCUUGUUUGUCUUGCAACCUCCACCACACUCCAUUCCACUUAUAGUGCUAAAACCAUGGCUCACGCUCAUGUAUUGCGUGAGAGUUGAAAAAGUUUGAGAAAGUAAAAGUGUGAAAACAAUUACUUGGCCAAUACUCAGGUUGUGCAUGAUUUCAAUUCGUUGUGCAAGGAUGAUAGAGCAUAGCCAGACUAUAUGAUUUUGUAGGGAUACCUUUCUUUUGGCCUUGUUAUUUUGAAAGUUCAUGAUUACCUUGCUAGUUUGCUUGAAGUAUUAUUGUCUCCACGUCAAUAGCAAACUAUUGUUUUGAAUCUAAUGGAUCUGAACAUUCACGUCACAUAAGAGGAGUUACAACGGACAUCUAUGCUAGGUAGCAUGAAAGCAUCAAAAAUUCAUUCUUUAUCACUUCCCUACUCGAGGACGAGCAGGAGUUAAGCUUGCGGAUGCUUGAUACGUCUCAAAUGUAUCUAUAAUUUUUGAUGGUUUCAUGUUGUUAUCUUGUCAACUUUGGAUGUUUUAUGUACCUUUUACAUCUUUUUUGGGACUAACUUAUUAAUUCAGUGCCAAGUGCCAGCUCUUGUUUUUUCUGUGUUUUUAGCUCUUUUCAGAUCUGAUUUUGGAACGGUGUCCAAACGGAAUAAAAUCCCCAAAAUAAAUUUUUCCACAACAGAAGAAGAUCGGGGGACUUAAGGGCCAAGGCAGGAGAGCCACAGGGGGGCCACAAGCCCUGUAGCCGCCACCAGGGGGCGGCGGUUACCAAGCUUGUGGCCCCCCUGGAGCUCCCCUGCCCUAGCCCUUUGGCCUAUAAAUUCCCUAAAAUCCCAGAAAAAAUCAGGGUGUCCUCGAAACCACUUUUCCGCCGCCGCAAGCUUCCGUUUCCGCGAGAUCUCAUCUGGAGACCCUUCCCGGUGCCCUGCCGGAGGGGACUUUGGAGUUGGAGGGUUUCUACAUCAACAUCAUCGCCUCUCCAAUGACUCGUGAGUAGUCCACUUCAGACCUACGGCUCCGUAGUUAGUAGCUAGAUGGCCUCUUCUCUCUCUUGGAUCUUCAAUACAAAGUUCUCCAUGAUCUUCAUGGAGAUCUAUCCGAUGCAAUCUUCUUUGGCGGUGUGUUUGUCAAGAUCCGAUGAAUUGUGGAUUUCUAAUCAGAUUAUCUAUGAAUUAUAUUUGAGUCUUUGUUGAUUUCUUAUUUGCAUGAUUUGAUAUCCUUGUAAGUCUCUCCGAAUCUUGGGUUUUGUUUGGCCAACUAGAUCUAUGAUUCUUGCAAUGGGAGAAGUGCUUGAUUUUGGGUUCAUACCGUGCGGUGACCUUUCCCCGUGACAGAAGGGGCAACAAGGCACGCAUCAUGUUGUUGCCAUCAAGGAUAACAAGAUGGGCUUUCAUCAUAGAUUUGAGAUUGUCCGUCUACAUCAUGUCAUCUUGUUUAAGGUGUUACUCUGUUCUUAUGAACUCAAUACACUAGAUGCAUGCUGGAUAGCGGUCGGCUUGUGGAGUAAUAGUAGUAGAUUCAGAAAGUAUCGGUCUACUUGCUUUGGACGUGAUGCCUAUAGAUAUGAUCAUUGCCAUAGAUAACGUCAUGACUUUGCGCGGUUCUAUCAAUUGCUCGACAGUAACUCGUUCACCCACCGUCUACUUGCUUUCAUGAGAGAAGCCACUAGUGAACACUACGGCCCCCGGGUCUAUUCACAACUAUCGUCUCCACUUUUACUUUUACUUUGAUUUGUUUACUUUUUGCUUUCAGUUCUCACUUUGCAAACAAUCUAUAAGGGAUUGACAACCCCUUCGUAGCAUUGGGUGCAAGCUCUUUGUAUUUGUGCAGGUACUUGUGACUUGACACGAUCCUCCUACUGGAUUGAUACCUUGGUUCUCAAACUGAAGGAAAUACUUACUGCCGCUGUUCUACAUCACCCUUUCCGCUUCAAAGGAACACCAACGCAAGGCUCCAAGGCCGCGGGGAAAUCCUUUGCAUAUUUGCCAAGGAAGUCCUUGUAGGCGUAGCCCAUAGCAGAAGGAUUCCUGGCGCCGUUUCCAGGGAAGGUCUUUUGUUGUCGUAGCAGGCCUUCUCUUGUGAGACAGCCCUCCUGGCCUCUCUUUGAGUCGCCUUAUGCACUACAAGAAAUAAGGUCAAUUAUGACUCCCUAUAUUGGUCAUUGAUUCGUCAUUGUUGUCGUUUAUUGACCUCUUUUUGACCAAAUUUACAAGGUCAACAGUUGGCCGUCAAGAAUGAACAAACCUGACCUUUCUAAAAAUUUGGUCAUAGGUCUCUAUCGACCAAAAUUUUGGUUUGGUCAUUACCCAUUUGUGUGAGCCAUGUAGGAUUUAACGUGGCCAAGCUGACGUGACAUUGCUAGUGACCAAAUGGAAUCAUCAUAAAUUUCAGAUCCCUGUCCACCAAUCUAGCCUACACGGGCCUGGCCCAAUACCUAUUUUACUAUUGAAAAUGUCUGAUUUGUUUGGGUUGAAGCAUUUUUUUUGCUAGAAGCACCCAUAUCUCAGGAUAGGCACAUUAAAAAUAAGUACAACAGAAUAAAAGAUUGCAAAUAAAAUGUAUAUUUCAUUUCAAUAGCAUAUCACAUCAAAUACAAUACAUCAUCCACCGACUCCACGCAUUAAGGUUCAACGCCUAACAAGGGCACAUCAAAAUAAUUUUACAUGUGCACAACAGAAUACUUAUGCAGGUGCAAGCGCACAAAAAAAGACCCAACAAGUGCACAAUCGCACAUAAAGAGAGUUCCACGAAGAUUGGAUGAGAACCACUAGUUUCUUCUCAUCCUCUCCCUCUGCACAAUAUGCUCUUGCCAUUGCCGCCUGCAAUAAGAAAAUGAUGUUAAGGCUUUGAGACCAAAGAAACUAGUAAAAUUACACGCACGAUAACCAAUGAUAAAACAGUAGAAAAUUGUUUUCUCAUUCAUCUAGUUAUGACUUACGAAGUGGAGUGGGAAACUACUCACAGACGAGAACCACCGUGCACUUUUUUCAAGGGAAACCCACCAUAAACUUGUGAGGUAAUUUUAGUUCAUAGACUCGAGGAACCAAACCAGCACACCAAAUCUACCGUAAAGCUAAAAGAACUUCGACAAGCUCUUUGACCAACAAGUGUAAUAUGAGUUUUUGUACGCCACCAGAAAGGCUGGUCUAUUAAUCAAACAUAUGAAAAUAUGAUUAUUUUUUUACUAACAUUAUCCUACAAAUUUUGGCAUUUCAUGUUAAGGAUAUCUGAAGCUAUUCAGGCAAGGCAUAAAAAUUAAAAUAUUCAGUGACUGUGACACAUCUAGUCAGUGUACUUUUACAUAUCAAAACAAAUAUAAAUGGCAGAUAUCGCUCAUGGCAAGUAAUGACCCCACACUCAUUUAAGAAAAUCAGAGAACAAGAAUUGUAUGUUUUUCUGCCAAAACUAUACUCUGGUUUGUUGCACUUUGUUCUGUAAGAGAAAACAAAAGAAAUUUACCUCCAAACAUAAGCAGAAUUAAACUGGCCCUUUCCAUUGUAAAUUACUAUCCCAUAUAUGUUGGAAUGCCAAGGGGAGACACAACUUGCUUUUUCAGAUGGUAGCAUGUGUUUACACGGAAAAGAAACAAAUUCAGUUGAAGUGAGAAACAUAGACAACAAGAACAUAAACAUUUUUUUCUGUACCACCACAAAUUCAGUUAAAGCUGGCUCGUCUAGGUACAAGAAAUCAAAUCUCACUAACUCUGUAACUUUGGAGCAUCAAAAUUAAAAUGGUUUGAAAAAUAGGAAUCAACAUCUCACAGCCAAUCAAAAGGAAGCUAUAUGAGCUUGGCAUGACAAAACCAAGAUUCUUCUAGCAACGCCCCCAAAUUGCCAUGAUGACAGUACACUAGGCAGAUGGGUUCCGUCUUAAGUAACAAUUCAGAAUUUCAGAUUUCACAGGACAAGCACAGUAGGUUAGUGUAAUUCAGCACAAGCAUAUGCUACCUUCACAUCAGUGUCCUGCUGUUGGCGUGCAACCACUCGACAGACACGACAGGCUUGGUUUGUGGGACCAUGCAGGGAACUUGUGGCCUUUAUCUCAAACUCAGGACGGUGCAGUCUAAGUAGGGAACGACACAUGCAUAUGGCUGGGUCAAUCGAUCAUAAUUCUUCACCCUAGGCCACUAAUAGACUUUAUAUAUAUAUAUAUAUANUUGCUUUGUAUUGCUUUUCGUUUUUCUGGUGUUACAAUCAACACCCCUAGGGUGUCUUUUAUACACGUCCACAAGGGGCUAUGGAAAUAGACUAGGACUAGGAAUCCUAAUACUACUAGGACUCGGUUUGGCUUUCUUUCCUAAUCCUAAAGAAACAACAUGAUUAACUUCUAUAUUCACCUCCUUAAUCUUGUUGCUUGACUUCACUUCUUGCACUCCGACUUUCCUCCUCAUCUCGAUGAACUUCUGUCGAUCGAGGGACUUGGUGAAAAUAUCGGCAAGUUGGUCUUUUGUGUUCACAUGUUGAACCUCGAUCAACCCUUCUUCAAUGCACUCCCGGAUAUGGUGGAACCGGGUAUCUAUGUGCUUGCUCCUUUCGUGAUGAACCGGAUUUUUGCACAACGAGAUUGCAGCUUGGUUAUCGAUCUUCAGUGACACCUUCUACACCUCCCGCUUUCCAAGAAUAGCUAGGAGUCUUCUCAGCCACACUGCUUGACAAGCCGCCGUGCUUGCCGCUAUGUAUUCUGCCUCGCAUGAAGACAGUGCCACCACCUUUUGCUUCUGAGAAUUCCAGCUAAUCGGAUUCGGGCCAAGGUAGAAAACCAUGCCUGUUGUGCUCUUUCGGUCAUCAACAUCACCUGCCAUGUCACUAUCUGAAUAUGCACGAAGGAUCAAUCCUUCCUUUCCCUUUCUGUACGUGCAGCCAAGAUUAAUUGUGCCGCGCUCAUGUGUUCGGUUGUCGGAUUCUCCAUGAAACGACUCACGAUCCCGACUGAAUAAGCCAAGUCAGGUCGGGUAUGCACCAAAUAUCUUAGGCUGCCCACAACGCUUCGAUACAUUGUGGUGUCCACCGGCGGAUUUGAGCUACGCUUGCUCAACUUGUGACGUUGGUCCAUUGGAACUUGUGUCGCGUAGCAAUCUGACAUGCCACACUUGUCCAAUAACUUGACCGCAUAAGCCGAUUGACAUAGGGAAAUCUCUCCGGAGCUUUGCUUCACUUCGAUGCCCAAGUAAUAGCUGAGUAAUCCCAGAUCACUCAUGCUAAACUUUUUCUUCAUUUGCGCCUUGAAACGUUCAAUUUCUUGUACGCUAUCUCCGGUGAUAAUCAGAUCGUCGACAUAAACUCCAACUAGCAGGUUUGAGCCUUUGGAGUUCUUUGUAUAGACUGCGUGCUCGAGGGGACAUCUCUUGAAGCCGAGCGAGACCAAACUCCGGUCUAACUUUGAGUUCCAAGCUCGUGGCGCUUGCUUCAACCCGUAAAGUGCCUUCUUGAGCUUGUAAACUUUCCCUUCUUCACCUUUCUUCUCGUAGCCGAGGGGUUGUUCUACGUACACUUCUUCUGUGAGAUCGCCGUUGAGGAAAGCGGAUUUAACAUCCAUAUGAUGAACCUUCCAAUCCUCUUGUGCUGCCAAAGCUAGGAGCGCUCUCACCGUCUCGAUUCAAGCAACCGGUGCAAACACCUCAUCAUAGUCAACUCCUUGACGUUGAACGUAGCCCUUUGCAACGAGUCUUGCCUUGUACUUCACAACGGCACCCUCCGUGUCCUUCUUUAACCUGCAAACCCACUUCAAACCUAUCGUCUUUUGGUUUGGAGGUCGGGUUACCAAAGUCCACGUGCCAUUGCUCUCAAUUGCCUUCAUCUCCUCAUCCAUGGCGUGCGUCCAGCUAGGACUUUUGCUCGCCUGUACGAAGUUCGCCGGCUCCUCAACUCCGAACAGACAUAGUCCCGAGUACUCGAGCGUAACUGGCUUUGUGUACUUGUAGACUUUCUUGAGGGUCUUGUAGCGACGAGGCCCUGAGGAAUCCGUUGUGGCUUGCGAAGGAGGCGACACAAAUUGUGUCAGUGUUGAUGCACUGGAGGAAGACGGCUGAGACCCUGGUGUGUCAUAGACAUCCGUGUCGUCGGCGUAGUCGUCGUGACCGUGACCAUCAUCUUGAUUGUCGUCGUCACUAUGCGCCUCGUUGUCGAUGUUGUCAUCGAGAUCUCCGCCUGUGUCGUGCGCGGCGUUGUCGCUAUCUCCUUGCGACCUAUGCGCGUCGUCGUCGGUGUCGGCACCAUGAUGAUCACUACCAUUGUGGUCACCUUGGUUGGGCGUCUUGCCAACCACCUGGACAUCCUCCCCUGCAUCAUCAUCAGUUGGAAAUUCAACUGCAAAUAUGUUACUGUUUGGAGCAUCGUCGGCUGCGGCGCUCCAAUUCCACGCUUGGUUUUCUUCAAACACGACGUCGCAUGAAAUCCGUAGACGCUUGGUUUGUGGAUCGUAGAAACGGUAUGCCUUGGUGCCAGAACUGCUCUCGUAUCCGAUGAACACCAUCUUGGUGCUACGAUCGGCAAGCUUUGAGAGGUGCGGCUCCACCGUCUUCACAUGUGACACGCACCCAAAUGUCCGUAGAUGAGACACAUUCGGCUUACGUCCGUAAAUUGCUUCAUACGGAGUCUUGCCGAUCACCACCUUCGUUGGAGCCCGGUUGAGAAGAUAGACCGCCGUCGAGACAGCUUCUCAACAAAAAGUCCCCGGCAGGUUCUUGCUCUUGAGUAAACUCCCUGCCAUGUCAACGACGGUUCGAUUGCGCCUUUCAACGACCCCAUUCUGCUGCGGCGUGUAAGGUGCCGUGAGGAACCUCUUUAUGCCAAUCUUCUUGCAGUAGUCGUUGAACUCAUUCGACGUAAACUCUCCGCCGCGAUCUGUCCGUAGAGCGCGAACCUUCAGCUUGUGUUCCAUCUCUGUUGCAGCCUUCAGCUUCUUGAAUGCUUCAAACGCCUCAUCUUUAGAUCGUAGGAGAAUGACCCACAUAUAUCUCGAGUAGUCGUCUACCACAAGGAAGAAAUACUUCUUUCCAGCGUGAGUUGCCGGGGUGAUAGGGCCACAUAGAUCACCAUGGAGCAGCUUGAGUGCAUCACUUGCACGAUAGGUAGACUAAGCAGGGAAUGGCCUGCGGUGCUGUUUUCCAACCAAGCACCCAUCACAUACUCGAUCAACAUGGUCGAUACCUGGCAUCCCGGAUACCAUCUCCAUCUUUGACAUCUUCUUCAAGGCGUAGAAGUUAACGUGUCGAAAUCUAGCAUGCCAUAACCACGAAUCAUCAUCACUCUUGGCGAGCCAACACUCCGGUUGAGAUUGAUCAAGGUUGAGGAUAUAUAGCCUAUUCCGUGUGCGAUUAACACGAGCUAGCACGUUUCGGAGGUUGUCGAAGAUCGUCAUCACUCCGCUCUCGAUAUUCACCUUGCAUCCAUUCUCAUCAAGCUUCCCAAUAGAGAUGAUGUUGUUGCGCAGUCGUGGAAUGUAGUACACUCCGGUGAGUAUGCGAUGUGCGCCUGUGAGACCCUCAAAGAGGACAGAUCCUUGCCCACAAAUCUCCACAGCUGAACCAUCACCGAACUUGACCGAGCCUUCAACAUCGUAUUCCAGCUCGAGGAAUUUCUCCUUGCACCCCGUCAUGUGGUUACUAGCACCCGUGUCGAGAUACCACGACACGUUCUGAUCAUCGGAUAACUUUGGUGUCACUCUUUCCUCAUGAAGUAGCACCUUCCGGCUUGGUCUCACAACCACCGUUUCAGCGAGAUCACAAACUUCGGCCAUCAGAAGACCGGACCUUCGUCUUCCUGCUUUGCCAAAUUUGCCUUGAUCUCCCGCUUGUUAGGCUUUGGACAAUCCUUCGCAAAGUGACCCAUCUUAUUGCAGUUAUAGCACUUGACCUCGGACAAGUCCAAGUUCCGUGGUUUCUGCUCUUUAGAUUGGCCCGCCUUACCACAACCUUGUGGUUUGCCUUUUCCUUUGCCUUUUCCGGUUUGUCCAUCGCCCUUCGUGUUGCUUGAGCCUUCGCCACCAUCACACCUUCCUUUGCUACUUGGGGCCUUCCAAUCUGCGCGCGAGUACAUGAGUUGGUCGCUACCUCCUCCUUUGCCUUUCCGACAGCCACGAGCAUUCUAUUCCCAUGUCCGCAAGCGUCCGAUUGCCUCCGUUAUGGUCAUGUCGUCGAUGUCGUAAAGCUGCUCGAGCGUGCCGAUGAUGUACGUGAAUUUAUCAGUCACUGAACUGAAAAAUUUCUCCACAAUCUCGGUCUCCUCGAGCUUUGCACCAAGCACGCGGAUCUCUCCCACCAAAGUAGUAAGACGCAUGGCAUAGUCAUUCAUCGAUUCAGUUUCCUCCAUCUGCAACUUGUGAAAUUGGCGCUUCAGCACUUGUGCCUGAGCCUUGGUGACGCGAUCUUAUCCGAUCCUCAUCUCCUUGAGUGCGUUCCACGCCUCUCUUGCCGUCUCGAACUCCGCCAAUGUCAUCAGCACGAAAUCUGGCACAGACUGGGCUAUGGCGGCCAUGGCACCUUCGUCGCGCUCCUCGUCGACGUCGUCGUCUGUGAUGGCCUCCCACACUCGAAGAGAUCGGAGAAUAAUCUUCAUCUUCACCUCCCACACGCCGUAGUUGGCGUCGGUGAGCAUCGGGUACUGGAUGGGGAUGUUGCGAUGCGCCUGGACGUUGGCGCCGCUCGUUCCUCCACCACUCGUUGCUGACUUGCCGCCCUUCUUCACCUUGUCGCCGUUUUUGUUCGCCUUAGCACCGCCGCUGCCGGACUCGACCGACUCAGCGUCGCUAUCCGUCAUCGUAGAUCGUAGAUCGUCCAGGAUCUAGAUACCAAUUGUUGGCUCUUGAACGUGCGUAUGCAGCUGUACAGGCGUGCCUACGCGAUUCUUGCUUUGGCCGGCUACUUGACGGAACUUGCGUAACUAGCGACACGAAUAAAACUGAUCGAUGGAUUUGAUGGCUAAAGGCCCGUGUCGAGCCUUUGCUUUGUAUUGCUUUUUGUUUUUCUGGUGUUACAAUCAACACCCCUAGGGUGUCUUUUAUACACGUCCACAAGGGACUAUGGAAAUAGACUAGGACUAGGAAUCCUAAUACUACUAGGACUCGGUUUGGCUUUCUUUCCUAAUCCUAAAGAAACAACAUGAUUAACUUCUACAGGGCCAAAAUAAUUAACAUAUACUUGACAAAUAACAGAUCUGGCUUAGUACUGAGUCUAGCAAUGACAAAUCAUACCAAAUCUCUAUAUGGUUGAAAACUACAUAGCAGCAAAUCUGGCUUACUACUGAGUCUAGCAAUGACAAAUCAUAGCAAAUCUCUGUACACGCAGCAGAUCUAAAUCAUAACAACAACCGGGGCGAAAAAUGGGC
RNAcentral lists this long non-coding RNA (13527 nucleotides) under Hordeum vulgare. RNAcentral's name for it is "long non-coding RNA (HVUL_LNC004782)". Lineage: Eukaryota; Viridiplantae; Streptophyta; Magnoliopsida; Poales; Poaceae. The record is from RNAcentral.